This 488-nucleotide ribosomal RNA is filed under the name uncultured Rhodoferax sp. RNAcentral's name for it is "bacterial SSU rRNA". It matches the Rfam family "Bacterial small subunit ribosomal RNA", at positions 8 to 489 of the family's 1533-position model. The record is from RNAcentral. Lineage: Bacteria; Pseudomonadati; Pseudomonadota; Betaproteobacteria; Burkholderiales; Comamonadaceae.
AGAGUUUGAUCCUGGCUCAGAUUGAACGCUGGCGGCAUGCCUUACACAUGCAAGUCGAACGGCAGCACGGGAGCAAUCCUGGUGGCGAGUGGCGAACGGGUGAGUAAUAUAUCGGAACGUGCCCAGUCGUGGGGGAUAACGUAGCGAAAGCUACGCUAAUACCGCAUACGAUCUACGGAUGAAAGCGGGGGACUCGUAAGGGCCUCGCGCGAUUGGAGCGGCCGAUAUCAGAUUAGGUUGUUGGUGAGGUAAAAGCUCACCAAGCCUGCGAUCUGUAGCUGGUCUGAGAGGACGACCAGCCACACUGGAACUGAGACACGGUCCAGACUCCUACGGGAGGCAGCAGUGGGGAAUUUUGGACAAUGGACGCAAGUCUGAUCCAGCAAUGCCGCGUGCAGGACGAAGGCCUUCGGGUUGUAAACUGCUUUUGUACGGAACGAAACGGUCUGCUUUAAUACAGUGGGCUAAUGACGGUACCGUAAGAAUAG